This 56-nucleotide transfer RNA is filed under the name Pseudosymplanella nigrifasciata. RNAcentral describes it as "tRNA-Val". The record is from RNAcentral. Lineage: Eukaryota; Metazoa; Arthropoda; Insecta; Hemiptera; Caliscelidae.
CAGAAAAUUUUUUUUAUUUACAAUAAAAUUUUAAUCAUUUAUUUGAUUUUUUCUGA